CUGUGCUUGUGUAGUCUCUAAUGAUUCUUUCAUAUAGCUUCUUAUGUUCUCUCACUCUGUGUUCUGUGCUUGUGUAGUCUCUAAUGAUUCUUCUGUGUAGCUUCUUAUGUUCUCCCACUCUGUGUUCCACACUUAUAUAGUCUCUAAUGAUUCUUCUGUGUAGCUCUCAAUGAUUUCUUCUGUGACGGGUUAGCAUCUGUUAGUAAUUAACUUAUGCAACCAACUCCCCUCCUGCACCCGCUCGUUCCUGGCUGUUGUGACCUCGCAUAACCCUCGAUGUUCUUCCGCUCUGUGCUCUGUGCUCACAUAGUUUCUAACAAUUCUUCCACAUAGCUCUUAAUGUUCUUCUGCUCCGUGCUCCGCACUCACAUAGUCUCUAACAAUUCUUCCACAUAGCUUCUUAUGUUCCUCUGCUCUGUGUUCCACACUCAUAUAGUCUCUAACAAUUCUUCUGUGUAGCUUCUUACAUUCUCUCACUCUGUGUUCUGCACUCACAUAGUCUCUAACAAUUCUUCCACAUAGCUCUCAAUGAUUCCCCCACCCCAC
Molecule: small RNA, 546 nt
Filed under: Histoplasma ohiense
Lineage: Eukaryota; Fungi; Ascomycota; Eurotiomycetes; Onygenales; Ajellomycetaceae
Description: hypothetical lncRNA
Source: RNAcentral